This 499-nucleotide ribosomal RNA is filed under the name Acidovorax sp. Sand_R2A_G2. Its description in RNAcentral is "bacterial SSU rRNA". It matches the Rfam family "Bacterial small subunit ribosomal RNA", at positions 127 to 621 of the family's 1533-position model. Lineage: Bacteria; Pseudomonadati; Pseudomonadota; Betaproteobacteria; Burkholderiales; Comamonadaceae. The record is from RNAcentral.
UGCCCGAGAGUGGGGGAUAACGAGGCGAAAGCUUUGCUAAUACCGCAUACGAUCUCAGGAUGAAAGCAGGGGACCGCAAGGCCUUGCGCUCACGGAGCGGCCGAUGGCAGAUUAGGUAGUUGGUGGGAUAAAAGCUUACCAAGCCGACGAUCUGUAGCUGGUCUGAGAGGACGACCAGCCACACUGGGACUGAGACACGGCCCAGACUCCUACGGGAGGCAGCAGUGGGGAAUUUUGGACAAUGGGCGCAAGCCUGAUCCAGCCAUGCCGCGUGCAGGAUGAAGGCCUUCGGGUUGUAAACUGCUUUUGUACGGAACGAAAAGACUCCUUCUAAUAAAGGGGGUCCAUGACGGUACCGUAAGAAUAAGCACCGGCUAACUACGUGCCAGCAGCCGCGGUAAUACGUAGGGUGCGAGCGUUAAUCGGAAUUACUGGGCGUAAAGCGUGCGCAGGCGGUUAUAUAAGACAGAUGUGAAAUCCCCGGGCUCAACCUGGGAAC